UUAUGACCUGGGCUACAAACGUGAUACAAUGGCUGUUACAAAGGGUAGCUGAAACGUAAGUUCUUGGCCAACCCCCAAAAACAGUCUCAGUCCGGAUUGGAGUCUGCAACUCGACUUCAUGAAGUUGGAAUCGCUAGUAAUCGCGAAUCAGCAUGUCGCGGUGAAUACGUUCUCGGGGUUUGUACACACCGCCCGUCAAACCACGAAAGUUGGCAAUACCCAAAGCCGGUGGCCUAACUCGUUUAUUCGAGAGGGCGCUGUCUAAGGUAGGGUCGACGAUUGGGGUUAAGUCGUAACAAGGUAUCCCUACCGGAAGGUGGGGAUGGAUCACCUCCUUU
RNAcentral lists this ribosomal RNA (338 nucleotides) under Iranian almond phytoplasma PA62. RNAcentral's name for it is "bacterial SSU rRNA". It matches the Rfam family "Bacterial small subunit ribosomal RNA", at positions 1202 to 1533 of the family's 1533-position model. Lineage: Bacteria; Bacillati; Mycoplasmatota; Mollicutes; Acholeplasmatales; Acholeplasmataceae. The record is from RNAcentral.